Molecule: non-coding RNA, 7115 nt
Organism: Delphinapterus leucas (beluga whale)
Lineage: Eukaryota; Metazoa; Chordata; Mammalia; Artiodactyla; Monodontidae
Source: RefSeq, a predicted model, not a curated record
GAGGCACCAAAGCUGGGGAGAGUCAGAGCUGCGGAGAACUCAUGCCGUCUGGCCCCAGAGUCCGGGCUCUGAGCCACUGGCCUCUCUGCCUCUUGGCCCCGGGACACCAAAGGAGAAACCAAGGCUUCCUUGCGGGAGCGAAUGAGUAGUUAGAGGUGAGGGAGCCGGAAAACCUGUUCACGGCCCUGGACCUGGAAGUCAGGCUCCCCCCUUGCCCUGCCUUUAUCCAGUGAGAUCCUCCAAAUGUCUCCUUCACUAGCACCCCCAGGCCAUGAAACAGGUCCUGAAAGGGUCAGAGCAUCGUCCCAUGAUGGAUACUGAUAAACUGUAAAGGUGAGUCCAGGAGGACACCAAGGGGAAAACGGGGGCCAGAGUGUGUGCGACCGCCAGUGAUCUGCUUCGCUCAGAUGCACCCUGGAAGGCCAACUGGUUUUAUAAUGUCAUUGGCGGAAGCCUUCCCCACUUGCUUCCAAGAUAUGCAUUCACAAGAAAGAUGCAAACCUGCUUGGCGGGAGCGUUACUGUGGCAGCGACAGCAGCUCAGGCCGAUGUCCCUGCAGGCUGCCUCCAGAACAUGCUCUGGCGUUGCUUAUACUGCUCAGACCUGACCCUGAGGCCACUGUGGUUCCCUUGGCCUCUGGGCCAGGACCGCAAGGAGAAGGGCGCUUGAAUACACACUCCAGAGGUGUCUACCUACAGGGAGGAUGAGGCUGUCAGGCCCAGCCCUGCCUCUGCCUCAGGAUACGCCAACGAGGUCCCUGCCACCUGCAGCCGCCCCGGGAGCUCCAGCCCUGCAAGCACUCCGUUUCACCAGCUCAUGUCUCCAUCUGAAUAUAGAUGUUAGAGUGGCGUUGUGCGGAGUAAAGAAGACCGUGUAAGAAAAGUGCCUGACAUACAGUAAAUGCUCAUUAAACACCCAAUGCUGUUAUUAACAUUCUUCGCUUAUGUUUGGCUUCCAAGUGCCAAGGAAAAUGGACACCAAGAUGGAGAUUUUGCAAGGGCUUCCAAGGGACAGCUUCAUCCAAAUCCAUGAGCCCAGCCAUGUCUUGGGGCCAAGGUAGAGCCGUAGGUAUGUCUGUUUAGGGCCACUGACCAACAGAGAAACAAACACCACACAAGCCAGGUUGAUAUUAACCCCCAGGGGUCAGACAUGACACUAAACCCACGGUUCCCUUGUCCUUUAACUCAGAGAUCGCAGGAAGAUACAUGUGGAAGCGUUUACUGUUAGACGUUGAGUACGUUUGCCAAGGGAAUGGAUAGAGACCUUCGUCUGAGUAAGAGAAGUGGUAUCUGGUUUUUAUUGUUCUCGGCAUGGGAUCCAAUCAUUAAAGGAACACAACUGGAAACAUACCACACCAGGCUCGUGAACUGGGUGGAGAACAAACAGCCUACAGAGCAUCUGGAAGAUGCCCAGGUCGUUAAAGUGUUCGGGCAGGGGUGGCAGCCUAGGCGGGCAUGUGUCCCUGUGUGCCCACAGGAUGGGGCCCUCACCACCUCCGGGUCCGCCCAUUCCCAGUCCCCUUCCCGGACUUCCUGUGCCCCCUGCCCCGUCCCUGCUGGGAGCAGUAUGGAGCCCUAGACACUGCCCUGUCUCACCUCACACCCAAGCAGCACCCCCUCCUGCAGAGCUGCCAUCUCUCGGAUUGGCCCGCUCCCCUCUCCACGGCUCAGAAAUGCCCCCUUCCUGCCCCCUCCGCCCUCUCAUCUCUUUCAGGAUCUGCUUUCCAUUUAGGACUGAGCUCCAACCGAAGAAAGGGCUGGCACCAGAGGCCAGCGGAGAGACGCUGUGUGACCAUGUGGCUGGGAGUGACCUUGGACCUGUUUCCCGAGAGCACUCCCUUCCGUCCGGGGACCCAGGGUGACCGCCAGCUCCCGCAGGAGCGGUGCUGCCACCAUGCUGCACGCUCCACGUCCCGCUGGCUGCUGGCACCGUGACCAUAGGGGGGCAUCCAGAACCUUCUGCCCUGGAGGCCUGGGCACAGCAGGGUGGGCGUCUCUAAGCUCCAAGUACAAGUGGAGUUUGUCUGGGGUGGACAGAUGUGGAGCAUUCACCACCACGGGCCGGUGCCCCCUCACACAUCUAUAAGUGAUGGUGUUUCCUUUCAAUUGCUCUCGUAGAUGUUGUCUGGCCCAACCUUUCCCCUGUGGCUCCUGUCCCCCUGGUCUCCACGGCAACCCUGUACAAACACCACACAUACCUCGGCUCUGAAUUCUUCCCCUCCUCUGCCAACCAGCCUUGUGCCCUUCAAGGCCCAGCUCACAGGCCACCUCCUCCUUGCAGCCUCCCUUGACUACUCCUUCCCAGCUGUUGUCCUCACAGAAUUCCUCCAGCGCUGGCUGGAGCACUUGGUGGGGAGCUGGCUGCUGUGUCCUGCAUGUUAAUAUUACCUACGUUGCAAAAUCCUGCUGGCACAUCUCCUACGGUUAGGCCUAGUGCCUGGAGCACAGCAAGCUUUUAAUACCUAUUUUUAUUAGUUGGUUAUCUCUUGUAUCCCCCAGAUUCUGAUAUAACCAAUGUGGACUCAGAUCUGACCAAGACAGCAGAGAAAAGAUGUCUCCCCCUCACUUCGCUGCCGUUUAAUACUCUGGUUUCCCUGGCGCCCUUCCUCCUGUGGAGCUAAGUUCAGGGACAUUAGCUGGUCAUACCCCAACCUUGAUCGGUCCCUCCUUGUAAGCUGGCCUGGGGGAAAGAAUGGAAAGUUUGAAAACAUGAUGCUGAGUGAAAGAAGGCAGUCACUGAGGCCACACAGAGAAUGGUUCCCUGAAAUGACAAGAACAGGCAAAUCCACGGAGACAGAAAAGAGAUUUGUGGUUGCUCAGGACUGUGGGAGUGGGUGAUGGCUAAGGGGUACAGGGUUUCUUCGUGGAGUGAUGAAAAUGUUCUAAAAUGGAUUGCGGUGCUAGAGGCAUGACUGUGAAUAUAGACAGUCCCUGCCUUACGAUGGUUUGAUUGACGAUUUUUUGACUUUAUGAUGGUGUGAAAGUGAUACGAAUUCAGCAGAAACUGUACUUCAAAGUUUGAAUUUUGCUCUUUUCCUGGGCAGUGAUAUGCGGUCCAAUCCUCUGUGGUGAUGCAGGGCGGCAGCCGCAGCUCCCAGGCAGCCCCGGGAUCACCAGGGGAAACCGUGACAGACAGCCGCUCUGGACCCAGAAGGCCACGCUGCUUUUCACCUUCAGUACAGUGUCCAGUAAAUUACACAAGCUAGUCAACACUUUAUCAUAAGAUAGGCUUUGUGUUAGAGGGCUUUGCCCACCUGUAGGCUCAUGUGAGCGCUCUGAGGGCAUUUAAGGUGGGCUGGGCUAAGCUGCGAUGUGCAGUAAGUUAGGGGUAUUAAAUGCAUUUCGACUUUUGAUAUUUUCAACUUAAGGUGUGUUUAUGGAAGAGUCACAUACUAAAAGCCAUUGAAUCGUACACUUUAAAUGAAUGAGUUAUGUGGUACGUGAAUUAUAUCUCAAAUUAUAUAUAUGUGUGUGUGUGUAUACACACACACACACACACACACACACACACACACACAUAUAUACAUUAUUUUUAGAGUGGAAACUUUGGGCAUCAGGCCCGGUGGGACACAUGAAGGGGAGGCCAGGUGGGGCUGAGUGGCCUGAGGUCUCAGGGGGACACUGAGAUGAAGGAUGUAACCAGAGGGGACAUGGGAUCUCGUUGGUGUACAGUCACAUUCCAUGGAACAGAGUAGAAAUAUUCAAAUCUCCCGAGUUCCUCAAGUUCCUUGAACGUGAGUUCAAGGAACCCGAGUUGGAGGACAAAGGAUGUGGAAUCCAGAGCAGGGUGCAUUUCCUAGAGCCCUUCAUUUAUUUCUUCCACAAACGGUUUGCGGGAGGGUCUCAGGGCUGAAGACGUGGAGGCCUUGCAGGCGAGCGGGGGGGGGCACAGAGGAAGGCACUGGUGACGAGGACACCUUACAGUAAACCCUCUUACAGGAGCACCACAGGUGGCCUGGAGGAACGCAAAGGGUGAAGGAGGGGGGCAGGAGACGUCCCAAGGGGGGUGGAGUGACUCAGGCAGAAUCACCUGGGUGCUGCCCACACCCCCGAGCAUGCAGACGGGGGCAGAGCAGUGGAAGCGGCCAGCAGCAUGGGUUAAAGUACAGUGGAGGACGCGGGUGGGGGCUGAGCCAGCCAACUCUGGGUUGUGGAGUUUUCCAGCAGCCCUCGGCUUCCAUCACCUUCGGGAAAAUCACAGGAAGCCGUGAUGGCAGCUACCGUUGUGAAGAUGCCAUCAGGCUGCAGUGUGCUUGCGCGGUGGGCAGGUGGGCAGCCUCCGGCGCCUGCCCUUGACAUUGGCGGUACUGCCUGGGGGCACUUCAGCUCAUGGUGUUUUGGGGACUGUGGUGUUUCCAGUAAAAAUCAAGAGACAGAAUCCCUGCCCCUACCUCCUUUGUUGGGGGGCACCGCGCAGAUCUGUGGGGCAACACGUGUGGAAAUAUUUUAGUAGCCCAAGGAGCUAUCACAGGACAGGGAGGGGCAUCUCUGCUGUGAUACCCAGAAACACUCAUGGAUCAAGGAGAGGGGUGGGCUCCGAAUCAAUGCAUGGUGUCCUCACGCCCACAUGUUUGCCCCUAUUCUAGCACCAAGGUUAUCUAUCCCGUAGCUCAGUUCUAAAACCACCACACAACAAAGAUCAAAAGGCUUUGAUCACAGUGUGUGGUGAGAUGUCGGGGAACAUCCUCUUUUAGAGAGUAUACACUGUACAACCUCCAUGGAGGGCAAUUCCGCCAAAGCUGUCACAAUAGGAAUACAUGUACUCUUUGACCUGACGAUUUUACUCCUAGGCGUUUAUAUCACAGAUACAUUUACACACAUGCACACAAAACUAUGUACAGCAGUAUUUGUUGCAACAUUUUUUUUAACAGCAAAGGAUGGAGAGCAGCUCCAUCGACGGAGGACUGACUCGGUACACAGUGGAGCAACGUACAGCCACAAAAAGGAACAGGGCACCUCCCGGUGUGCCACCAGGAAGUGAAGCCAAGGGGUUCAAAACCAAGUUGUAGAACAGGAAGAUGGUAUGAUACAAAAACAUAAAAAGCUUGUCAGUGCAUAGACUGUCUCUGAACUGUUGCCUCUGCGCAGAGAAACUGGGAGGCUGUGGUCCAGCGGGGAAGAAUGCUUACUUUUUACCAUUACCUUUUUUAUACUUUUUGAAUGUUUAAACAUGCACGCACGAGCAUUACCUAUUCAACUGCGUAUGUAUUUAAACAAAACAAUAUUAUUCUAGGGAUUGAAGUGGAUCUGGGAACUCCCGGUAUAUUUAGCCACUUGGUGUUGUGCAAAUAAUCUGAGCCCCAGGUGCCUCAUUUGCAAAACAGGUGCAAUGAUGCUGCACCCACUUGAAAGCAGGAGGCUGGGAUGAGGGCCUUUCAGAUUCCUUCUGCUCUGAGAUCUAUAAUCCCCUGUGGAUGUAGCACAAAGACUGUGUAUGCUGGCCAGGGGCACCCCGCGACUGUCCUUCACAUGAGUCCUCUCGGAGCAAAGCUAAAUGCUGCUCCCUACAUGUGGCUUGCGGGGCCUGAAAGACCUGCGCUGGGCGGGGCUGCAAAGGUGGUAGGACUGUUUGAAAAUUCCUCCUUCUUCUGCUCCACCCUGACCAGUCUUUUCCUCCCCAGACACCAGGGCUCCUUUCCUGCCCUGGGCAUCACACCUGCCUAGGACAAGCAUCUAUUCCCAGUCACUUGUAGCCUCUCCCUGCUGGCGGCCCGGGGGAGGUAGAAUUCGUCCGUUCUCCCGAAACCAGCAAGGCUCUGGUGGGGAGGGACAGACGCUCUCGGGGUUCUGUGCCGGCGAGGGUGGGGGACGGAGAGCGGGCACCUCGGGUCCCCCGUCAGCCAGCAGCUCAACACCAGUCCCGGCUCAGGGGCUGUCACAUCAUCCGGCACUCUCUUAUUCUGGACGUGCUGCUAACACACACCCAACCCGAUUAGAUAGACACGGGCUGCAGGUUCUGAUUACAGGACAUUCCUCACUUCCCCAAAUGCCGUUGAACCCUCUAACCAGCUCCCACUUCUCAGCCUCUAACAGCCCUGGCCCCAUCUCCUCCCUUCUCCCCCCUCACCCCCCCGCUCAGGUCUCAGCCUCCAGAAACGGGGAAACUGAGGUCUGCAGACGGGAAAGACUUUCGCCCUCCACCCAGGGAGCUGGAGAAAUUCUCUGCUGGAGUCACCAGCCCCGUCUCCUUCCCUAAGCUCCUGCCGGGGCGGGGGCACCGCAGCAACGCUCUGGGUCUCCGGAGGCUGGUGUCAGCUCAGAGUCAGUGUACACUCAUCUCUGAAGAGUCUAAUUAUUACCUUUUUGCCAACGCAUUCACCCUGGUAAAGGCCACAGGCAGCUUCAGGGAAGGCUGGGAGAAAGGUUAGUAGUGGACAGUUCUGACAGUAUCCUGGGGUCCUUUCUCAAGGCGACCCGCCCUCCCCUUCGUUCAAGGGGCUCUGGGUUUGUAAACUGGCUCAAACCUCGGGAUUAACUGAGGGGCCAUGAUGCUCUGAUUCGAGUUAGGCUUUGGUUCACUUGAACUGGAACUCGUCAUUGAUUUUCAAGUAAGAAUUGAGGCCUGCAUCUACCUCACCUCCAGGACCGCCGUGAUCAACCAGCCAUCGGUCCGCCGGAGUCGGCCUGUUUACACUGCUGCUUUGACACUGCUGUCCCUCACGGUAACCACGCCCGUCUCGUCUCUGGGGAUUAAGUGUUGCCACACGGCCCUGCCGCCCAGGAUCCAGCGAUCCCCACUGCGUUUAGGAUUCCCAGAGCAGUGGCUGCCGUUCCCGCUGUCAUCUCUGACCUCGGAUGAGAGCGACCACAGAGCUGAUCAAAGAGCCUCCCUCACAAACUGUCUGUCACCGUCUUGGUGAAAGGGGUGUCCUCUGGACCAUCCCAGGUGUGUGUGUGUGUGUGUGAGAGAGAGAGAGAGAGAGAGAGAGGAGAGAGAGAGAGAGAGAGAGAGAGAGAGAGAGAGAGAGAGAGAGCGCAGGACUUACAUGGGAAUCUAGGCUAACUUUCCAAUCUCCCUAAGCCUUUGGAGACCUUCCUCUAUAGGGUCCAUGUUUCAGCCAACCCAACCAAAUAAAACUGUUGGCCUUUCUGGCCCCAGAGCCCUUUUUUUUUUUU